Molecule: ribosomal RNA, 465 nt
Filed under: Vreelandella stevensii
Lineage: Bacteria; Pseudomonadati; Pseudomonadota; Gammaproteobacteria; Oceanospirillales; Halomonadaceae
Description: partial 16S ribosomal RNA
Rfam family: Bacterial small subunit ribosomal RNA
Source: RNAcentral
CCUACGGGGGGCAGCAGUGGGGAAUAUUGGACAAUGGGGGCAACCCGGAUCCAGCCAUGCCGCGUGUGCGAAGAAGGCCCGCGGGUUGUAAAGCACUUUCAGUGAGGAAGAACGCCUGGUGGUUAAUACCCAUCAGGAAAGACAUCACUCACAGAAGAAGCACCGGCUAACUCCGUGCCAGCAGCCGCGGUAAUACGGAGGGUGCGAGCGUUAAUCGGAAUUACUGGGCGUAAAGCGCGCGUAGGUGGCUUGAUAAGCCGGUUGUGAAAGCCCCGGGCUCAACCUGGGAACGGCAUCCGGAACUGUCAAGCUAGAGUGCAGGAGAGGAAGGUAGAAUUCCCGGUGUAGCGGUGAAAUUCGUAGAGAUCGGGAGGAAUACCAGUGGCGAAGGCGGCCUUCUGGACUGACACUGACACUGAGGUGCGAAAGCGUGGGUAGCAAACAGGAUUAGAUACCCUAGUAGUC